This 497-nucleotide ribosomal RNA is filed under the name uncultured bacterium. RNAcentral's name for it is "partial 16S ribosomal RNA". It matches the Rfam family "Bacterial small subunit ribosomal RNA", at positions 28 to 507 of the family's 1533-position model. The record is from RNAcentral.
GAUGAACGCUGGCGGCGUGCCUAAUACAUGCAAGUCGAGCGAACAGACGAGGAGCUUGCUCCUCUGACGUUAUCGGCGGACGGGAGAGUAACACGUGGAUAACCUACCUCUAAGACUGGGAUAACUUCGGGAAACCGGAGCUACUGCCGGAUAAUAUAUUGAACCGCAUGGUUCACUAGUGAAAGACGGUUUUGCUGUCACUUAUAGAUGGCUACGGGGCGCAUUAGCUAGUUGGUUAGGUAACGGCUUACCAACGCAACGACGCGUAGCCGACCUGAGAGGGUGGUCGGCCACACUGGAACUGAGACACGUCCCAGACUCCGACGGUAGGAAGCAGUACGGAAUCUUACGCAAUGGGCGAAAGCCUGACGGAGCAACGCCGCGUGAGGGAUGAAGGUCUUCUGACCGGAAAACUCUGUUAUUAGUGAAGAACAAAUGUGUAAGUAACUAUGCACGUCUUGACGGUACCGAAACAGAAAGCCACGGCUAACUACGUG